UACUGGUCUGUUAUCCGACGAUGUAAGU
This 28-nucleotide small RNA is filed under the name Bombyx mori (domestic silkworm). RNAcentral's name for it is "piRNA piR-bmo-1337832". The record is from RNAcentral. Lineage: Eukaryota; Metazoa; Arthropoda; Insecta; Lepidoptera; Bombycidae.